UGCAAGCCCAGAAGAGCCGCAGUGAAUAGGCCCAAGCGACUGUUUAUCAAAAACACAGGUCUCUGCUAAACCGUAAGGUGAUGUAUAGGGGCUGACGCCUGCCCGGUGCUGGAAGGUUAAGAGGAGUAGUUAGCUUCUGCGAAGCUACGAAUCGAAGCCCCAGUAAACGGCGGCCGUAACUAUAACGGUCCUAAGGUAGCGAAAUU
RNAcentral lists this ribosomal RNA (206 nucleotides) under Staphylococcus haemolyticus. RNAcentral's name for it is "partial 23S ribosomal RNA". It matches the Rfam family "Bacterial large subunit ribosomal RNA", at positions 1761 to 1966 of the family's 2925-position model. Lineage: Bacteria; Bacillati; Bacillota; Bacilli; Caryophanales; Staphylococcaceae. The record is from RNAcentral.